GCCCAAGUGGCGGAAUGGUAGACGCAGGGGAUUCAAAAUCCCCCGCCUUCACGGGCGUGUCGGUUCGAGUCCGACCUUGGGCACCA
Molecule: transfer RNA, 86 nt
Filed under: Roseovarius sp. SCSIO 43702
Lineage: Bacteria; Pseudomonadati; Pseudomonadota; Alphaproteobacteria; Rhodobacterales; Roseobacteraceae
Description: tRNA-Leu
Rfam family: tRNA
About the family: Transfer RNA (tRNA) molecules are approximately 80 nucleotides in length.
Source: RNAcentral